UACAACAGACCGCAGUGCGAAACACCAGUCAGUGUUCGGUAGGUUUUGUUCAGAUUUCCUUGUGCAAAAAACCGUCUCGCGUCGUGUCGAUCCGAGAAAACAAGAAAUCAGGUUGCGGGAUCAGAGCGACUACGAUGAGCCUGUGGCCGUCAGACAUCGGGAAGAGACCGUCGCGAGCGGACAAGUGAAUUUCCUCCACGCAGCAGCAGAAACCAAAGCAAAAUAAAUACGGUAGUGUUCCGCGAAUCGGCCACGAAGCCAAGGGCAGAUCGUAUACAGAGUGGAAGUGCAAAAUAAGAGUGUUCCAGUUUAGUGCUGUGUUUUCUUUCUCGAGGGAGAAAUUUAGUGUAGCAGUAAUCAAGUUCAGCUCUUUAAUCUCGGAAGUGCAAAGCCCAAAACAUCAAAAGUGUUGUGAUAAGGGAAACUAAACAAAAGCAUGAGUGAAAUGUCUUGCAAGGGUAGUCCGACUUCGAGCGCCAGUGCCCGGAUAAGCCUGGUCACCGACGAGAGCCAUUUCAGCCUGGCCAGCCUGAACUCCUCCGUCAGCCAGGAUGAGUUCUUCCGCUGCAGGGAACAUUCGGAUCUGGUGCUGAAAAGGAUGCAAGAAUACCUACAGAACGAGAAGCUGUGCGAUGUAGUCUUGAUCGCAGGAUUAGAUGGCAAGCGCAUUCCAGCCCACCGUUUGGUACUGUCGGCAUCCUCAGCCUACUUCAGUGCAAUGUUCACCGGCCAUCUGCGGGAGAGUCAACAGGAAGAAAUCACCCUCCAGGAAGUGUCCGGUGAAGCGUUGCAGCUUCUCAUCCAGUAUUGCUACACGGGAACCAUAGAGCUGCGGGAAGAUACGGUCGAAACCCUGCUCGCAACCGCUUGUCUACUUCAGCUCAGCACGAUCGUCAACGCGUGCUGUACGUUCCUUGCCCGCCAGCUGCACCCGUCCAAUUGCUUGGGAUUCUCGCUAUUCGCCGAGCAGCAGGGAUGUACCGCACUGCUAAAAAUCGCAUCGGCCUACACUUGCCAGCACUUUAUGCAGGUCUGGAAGAAUCAGGAAUUCUUCCAGCUGGAUUCAGUGCAACUUUCAACGCUACUGAAAAGCGACGACUUAAAUGUUCCUAACGAGCAGGAGGUAUUUCACGCACUGAUGGCCUGGAUUCAGUUCGAUUCGGAAAAUCGAAAACAGUACAUACCAGAACUGUUGGCGCUGAUACGAUUGCCACUUCUGCAACCAUCGUUCAUAGUCGAUCACGUGGAAGCUCUCUGCGGUGCUAACGAGUGCCAACAGUUGGUGAUGGAGGCGUUCAAAUGGCAUCUUAUUCCCGGAAGACGAUCGCAAAUAUCAACGCAACGAACAAGACCGCGAAAGUCUACGAUUGGUAAACUGCUGGCUGUUGGAGGAAUGGACGGUCAUAAAGGCGCUAUUAGCAUAGAAAGCUACGAGCCACGUUUGGACAAGUGGACUCUGUUGAAGAAUAUGCCAGCCAGACGACUCCAGUUCGGCGUUGCCGUAAUGGAUGAUAAGCUUAUUAUUGUUGGCGGUAGAGAUGGUCUGAAGACGCUGAAUACCGUUGAGUGUUUUGACUUGACAACGAUGACCUGGAGCUCGAUCGUGCCACCGAUGGGCACGCCUAGACACGGUCUAGGAGUUGCAUUCCUAGAAGGGCCACUGUACGCGGUUGGUGGACACGAUGGGUGGAGUUAUCUAGCAACCGUUGAACGAUGGGAUCCUGCUGCCCGUACGUGGAGCUACGUAGCACCAAUGUCUUCUAUGAGAUCCACUGCCGGAGUUGCAGUUCUGAAUGCCAGAUUGUUUGUGAUUGGAGGCAGAGAUGGAAGCGUGUGCCAUCGAACGGUUGAGUGUUACGAUCCUCAUACGAACAAGUGGACCUUGCGUGCACCAAUGAAUAAGCGACGAGGAGGUGUAGGGGUUGGCGUCCUAAAUGGAUAUCUGUAUGCCUUGGGAGGACAUGAUUGUCCGGCAAGUAAUCCAGCAGUUUGCAGAACCGAAACAGUGGAACGAUAUGAUCCUACGACUGAUACUUGGACUCUGAUCGCUUCGCUCAGUGUAGGACGCGAUGCCAUCGGUGUGAGUGUACUGGGUGAUUGGCUUAUCGCCGUUGGAGGCUACGAUGGUAAUCAGUAUUUGAAAACGGUCGAGCAGUACGACACGGAAAGUAACGAAUGGCAACAGAUCGCCCCUGUCAAUUAUAGCCGUGCUGGUGCCUGCGUGGUGGCAAUCCCCAACAAUUUUACAUCCACCGCGGGAACCACUGUAGUCGCAACUAGUGGCCCAUCGGUGGCUUCGAUAGCUGGAGCGUUGGUGUCAUCUUCAUCCUCGACGAACACUGCGGUUUAGUACAAGAGUUCCACUACGGCACUGAUUGCUAGUGAUGCUUCUCCAUUCCUAAGGGCGUCCCUCAUUCAACGGACGUUUCAAAUAAUACAGCAUCUCGCGUGUUCGUGUGUUUACUACUAUCCAUUUUACUGCUAAGUAUUGUUAGAGUCUAAUCAAAGAACGAAGUUGCAAAGGGCGCAACUGAAAGGAUACCAUCCAUUAAGCAAGUCAUCUGAAACGUUUACACCUGCGAAUAUGAAAUCAAACGAAACGAUAUAUUUUUCAUAAAGUAGCUAUAACCCCGUCAUAUACAAGCAGGCACACAUUGUCCUAUAGAAAACAAAUGGAAACCGCACAAUCACCUCUUCUGUCCGUAAUAGCAUGCACAAGAACUACAAUCUAACACUAUUAUAGAAUGAAACUCGUUUUACUGAACAAAGCGCUCUAAUCGAAUGCUGCUGCAUACAGUGUUUAAGUAACAGAGGAGCGGGUUCCUCUCGUAGCGGUAACUAUUACUAUAGGCGUCAAUUUAGGAUCUUUGAUUAUUACGUUUAGAACGCAAGGCUGCCCAUCCAAGUGAAGAUAUAUGUAUCGAACUAUUCCUACGUUAUACAAGAUAAUGCGAUAGAUUAGGACAAACCCCCAAAUCGAAUCCUACCCACAUUGCAAUGAAGACGAUUUUCUUUCCUGUGAUGAUUUUAUUCUAUUAUAUUUUAGAAAAUAGUUUCAUUUAUCCACAUUUAUACAGCUUUCCAGUGUAACGCGAAGCAUAGCAAGCCAACCCUCGCGAUUUGCGAUCCCCGCCGGAUGCUGCGCGUCAUUCUGCCUGUCCCCGGUCCCUCCCACUUCUGAGAUUAGUUAGCAAGUUCGAUGAUGUGAUUGAUGGUCAUUCGCCCAUGCCCAAAGAUUUGUAGCCAAAAUAAGACAACACAAGGGAGACAGGAAACUAAAAAACCGCGGAUCCGGUGGGAGAUCGCGGCGAGAUUUUAGUUACUUUAUCUGUGAUCGGCUAAAUCAAUUAAAUUUAAAAUGAACGAAGUAGCAGGGAAUCUAGGUACUUUUGAUCGAUUUGAUUUUCUCUCAAUGUAUACUCCUGCGUGGCUGUUAGGUUAAGUAUUAUGUGAGUUGUGAGCAAAUUCAGGAGCAGAACCCGGUUAGAACAGGGGAAGGGCCCAGUAUGUGACAAAACUUUCGGUUUAUUAAAUGAUUUUUUUUAAGUAGAAAGCAAGCGAGUAUACAAGCUUGUUCAAUAGAAGUUUAACGAACGAAAGACGAGUGUAGCAUACGCUUGAAGACAG
Aedes aegypti (yellow fever mosquito) is the source of this 3627-nucleotide RNA transcript. It is a transcript of the gene named kelch-like protein 5, with no coding region annotated. NCBI's taxonomy places the organism in Eukaryota, Metazoa, Arthropoda, Insecta, Diptera, Culicidae. The transcript has 10 exons. The record is from RefSeq and is a predicted model, not a curated record.